Molecule: unclassified non-coding RNA, 200 nt
Filed under: soil metagenome
Description: partial contains internal transcribed spacer 2 and large subunit ribosomal RNA
Source: RNAcentral
CAUUUGUACUCUCAAGCUAUGCUUGGUAUUGGGUGCUUGUCCUCUCCUUUGCAGUGGACUCACCUCAAAUUCAUUGGCAGCCAAUGUAUUGGUCUUGAAGCGCAGCACAUUUUGCGUCUCUAGCUGAUAAUCAUUAGCGUCCAUUAAGUCUACUUAACACUUUUGACCUCGGAUCAAGUAGGGAUACCCGCUGAACUUAA